This 45-nucleotide non-coding RNA is filed under the name Schistosoma mansoni. Lineage: Eukaryota; Metazoa; Platyhelminthes; Trematoda; Strigeidida; Schistosomatidae. The record is from RNAcentral.
AUCCAGCUGAAGAGUCCCAAAUAGGACGGGACGUGUGUCCUGGUU